UACGUAGGUGGCAAGCGUUGUCCGGAAUUAUUGGGCGUAAAGCGCGCGCAGGCGGUCCUUUAAGUCUGAUGUGAAAGCCCACGGCUCAACCGUGGAGGGUCAUUGGAAACUGGGGGACUUGAGUACAGAAGAGAAGAGUGGAAUUCCACGUGUAGCGGUGAAAUGCGUAGAGAUGUGGAGGAACACCAGUGGCGAAGGCGGCCCCCUGGGCCGUACCUGACGCUGAGGAGCGAAAGCGUGGGGAGCGAACAGG
RNAcentral lists this ribosomal RNA (253 nucleotides) under uncultured bacterium. RNAcentral describes it as "partial 16S ribosomal RNA". It matches the Rfam family "Bacterial small subunit ribosomal RNA", at positions 524 to 776 of the family's 1533-position model. The record is from RNAcentral.